Long non-coding RNA from Priapulus caudatus, 543 nucleotides. RefSeq lists it as uncharacterized. The record is from RefSeq and is a predicted model, not a curated record. NCBI's taxonomy places the organism in Eukaryota, Metazoa, Priapulida, Priapulimorpha, Priapulimorphida, Priapulidae. The transcript is spliced from 3 exons.
UAUGGCGGCGAGCAGGCGAAUGUGUCUGUCCAACCCGGCUGUGAAUAUCCGCCAUAGGGCCGAUUCUGCAGCCGGGACAGUGCCCGAUAAAGUACGAACAAUGAAUCCAGAAUCUCUACUAGAUAUCUGUGCAAAAGCUACGGCUACUAACGUGCCGUUUCAACGUGUAGAAGAGAGAGUUUCGCGGAUACCCGAACCAGUUCAACAACGAAUCAUCUUCUGGUCGUUCCCGAGAAAUGAGAGAGACAUUUGUAUGUACUCGUCGUUAUCCAAUAUACCAGCCAGUGGACCCGACUAUCAAAAAUUACCCUUCCAUAAAGGCGUGAGACUACUAGAGUCUGGAUGUGUGGAUAACGUUCUACAAGUCGGUUUUCAUCUGAGUGGAACCGUACGAGAGGGUGGGAACCCAAUAUAUACAGACAGGAGAACUAUAUAGGGUAUCAAUUAGCUUUGACAGAUGCAAGAUUACCUCAGUCACGUGUAGUUGCGGGAACAAAGACAUAUUCUGGUGCCAGCAUGUGGUGGCGCUAUCGUUGUAUAGGA